AUGAUCACAAUGGAUUUCAUUGACGGACUCCCAACUUCUGGAAGUGUGAACUGCAUUUUGGUGAUCGUUAAUAAGCUGACAAAAUUUGCUCACUUUCUGCCCCUAGCACACCCUUAUACAGCCUCCAAAGUAGCACUGCUCUACAUGAACCAAGUCUAUAGGCUACAUGGAUUCCCGGGGUCGAUUGUGUCUGACCGUGAUCCGAUGUUCAUGAGUCAUUUUUGGCAGGAGCUCUUCAAGUAUGCAGGCACGGGUCUCAGAAUGAGUUCAGCCAACCACCCACAGAUGAACGGCCAGACGGAGAGGGUCAAUCAGUGCCUAGAAACCUUCCUCCGAUGCUUCACGCAGGCGUGUCCCCGUCGAUGGAGCUACUGGAUUCCACUUGCACAGUUCUGGUACAACUCUUCCCAUCAUUCUGCCAUUGGAAUGUCACCAUUUCGUGCUAUGUACGGGCAUGAACCACGGCAAUGGGGGAUUACAACAACGAGGGCUUUUUCAGUGCCGGCCCUUCAUUCCUGGCUGGAUGAACGCACCGUUGUGCAAGACCUUCUCCAAUGGCAUCUCCAUCGAGCGAGACAGUGCAUGAAGUAG
Molecule: ribosomal RNA, 591 nt
Filed under: Triticum aestivum (bread wheat)
Lineage: Eukaryota; Viridiplantae; Streptophyta; Magnoliopsida; Poales; Poaceae
Description: partial small subunit ribosomal RNA
Source: RNAcentral